RNAcentral lists this ribosomal RNA (253 nucleotides) under uncultured bacterium. Its description in RNAcentral is "partial 16S ribosomal RNA". It matches the Rfam family "Bacterial small subunit ribosomal RNA", at positions 524 to 776 of the family's 1533-position model. The record is from RNAcentral.
UACGAAGGGGGCUAGCGUUGCUCGGAAUUACUGGGCGUAAAGCGCACGCAGGCGGCUUUCUAAGUCGGGGGUGAAAUCCUGGAGCUCAACUCCAGAACUGCCUUCGAUACUGGAAAGCUCGAGUCCGGGAGAGGUGAGUGGAACUGCGAGUGUAGAGGUGAAAUUCGUAGAUAUUCGCAAGAACACCAGUGGCGAAGGCGGCUCACUGGCCCGGUACUGACGCUGAGGUGCGAAAGCGUGGGGAGCAAACAGG